Long non-coding RNA from Mastomys coucha (southern multimammate mouse), 667 nucleotides. RefSeq lists it as uncharacterized. The transcript is spliced from 4 exons. NCBI's taxonomy places the organism in Eukaryota, Metazoa, Chordata, Mammalia, Rodentia, Muridae. The record is from RefSeq and is a predicted model, not a curated record.
UGCUGGGUGACAUCAUAAUGGCUUGUGGAAAUACUACUGCUCAGAGCCUGCUAAUGCUGUCACAGGGUAUUCAGGCCUGUAUAUUUCUUUGUCACAUGGCUAAAGCUCACUCUUUGAGAAACAGGAUCUCUUCUGGUCCUUAUCUAGUAGUGCAUCCAGUAAGAGCCAUGCAGGGGAAAGCAGAGGGACCUGAUGUCUACUUAGCCACAGUGCUUGUUAGUAAACACAUAUCAUAAUGGACUGUUGAAGACACCAGGGAAUGGGGAAUGGCAUCCCAAGUAGAAGUGCCUGCUUAAACCUACUAUCUUCUGGGAAUGGUGCUGAGGAACUAUUUCAGGCUUUGCACCAUUGAACAACUUUGAGCUAUACUCCAGCUGAACAUCGACAUGUCUUUGAGGCAGAGUAUGUUGCUGCUACACAGAGGUCUUGUAAAGAGAUGUGAGCACUUUUUCCAGUGUCAGGUAGCAAGAAGCCAAAUCCUGUCAUCAAAAGUGAGAACUUGGAAUUGAAGACUUCAUCGGAGAGUACAAGUUGGCUAUUAUCUUCAUGGAAGACUUGCAGAAGACCUACAUAAGCUGUCUGGACUUUUGACCAUAUGAGACCCUGUGAGAUUGGAAGGCAAUGUAAUAAAAACAGUGCCAUAAGGCACUUAACCAUCCGUAUAAAA